RNAcentral lists this ribosomal RNA (448 nucleotides) under uncultured bacterium. RNAcentral's name for it is "bacterial SSU rRNA". It matches the Rfam family "Bacterial small subunit ribosomal RNA", at positions 28 to 458 of the family's 1533-position model. The record is from RNAcentral.
GAUGAACGCUGGCGGCGUGCCUAACACAUGCAAGUCGAGCGAAGCACUUUGCUUAGAUUCUUCGGAUGAAGAGGAUUGUGACUGAGCGGCGGACGGGUGAGUAACGCGUGGGUAACCUGCCUCAUACAGGGGGAUAACAGUUAGAAAUGACUGCUAAUACCGCAUAAGACCACAGCACCGCAUGGUGCGGGGGUAAAAACUCCGGUGGUAUGAGAUGGACCCGCGUCUGAUUAGCUAGUUGGUAAGGUAACGGCUUACCAAGGCGACGAUCAGUAGCCGACCUGAGAGGGUGACCGGCCACAUUGGGACUGAGACACGGCCCAAACUCCUACGGGAGGCAGCAGUGGGGAAUAUUGCACAAUGGGGGAAACCCUGAUGCAGCGACGCCGCGUGAGCGAAGAAGUAUUUCGGUAUGUAAAGCUCUAUCAGCAGGGAAGAAAAUGACGGU